RNAcentral lists this ribosomal RNA (2876 nucleotides) under human oral metagenome. RNAcentral describes it as "bacterial LSU rRNA". It matches the Rfam family "Bacterial large subunit ribosomal RNA". The record is from RNAcentral.
UUAAGUUAAUAAGGGCGCACGGUGGAUGCCUUGGCACUAGAAGCCGAUGAAGGACGUGACUAACGACGAAAUGCUUUGGGGAGCUGUAAGUGAGCAAUGAUCCAGAGAUGUCCGAAUGGGGGAACCCGGCAGGUAAUGCCUGUCACUCAUUACUGUUAAGGUAAUGUAGAGGAAGACGCAGUGAACUGAAACAUCUAAGUAGCUGCAGGAAGAGAAAGCAAAAGCGAUUGCCUUAGUAGCGGCGAGCGAAACGGCAAGAGGGCAAACCGAAGAGUUUACUCUUCGGGGUUGUAGGACUGCAACGUGGACUUAAAGAUUAUAGAAGAACUACCUGGGAAGGUAGGCCAAAGAGAGUAAUAGCCUCGUAUUCGAAAUAGUCUUUAUACCUAGCAGUAUCCUGAGUACGGCGAGACACGAGAAAUCUCGUCGGAAUCUGGGAGGACCAUCUCCCAACCCUAAAUACUCUCUAGUGACCGAUAGUGAACCAGUACCGUGAGGGAAAGGUGAAAAGCACCCCGGGAGGGGAGUGAAAUAGAACCUGAAACCGUGUGCCUACAACAAGUUCGAGCCCGUUAAUGGGUGAGAGCGUGCCUUUUGUAGAAUGAACCGGCGAGUUACGAUAUGAUGCGAGGUUAAGUUGAAGAGACGGAGCCGUAGGGAAACCGAGUCUGAAUAGGGCGUCUUAGUAUUAUGUCGUAGACCCGAAACCAUGUGACCUACCCAUGAGCAGGUUGAAGGUGAGGUAAAACUCACUGGAGGACCGAACCAGGGCACGUUGAAAAGUGCUUGGAUGACUUGUGGGUAGCGGAGAAAUUCCAAACGAACUUGGAGAUAGCUGGUUCUCUCCGAAAUAGCUUUAGGGCUAGCGUCGAUGUUAAGUCUCUUGGAGGUAGAGCACUGUUUGGGUGAGGGGUCCAUCCCGGAUUACCAAUCUCAGAUAAACUCCGAAUGCCAACGAGAUAUAAUCGGCAGUCAGACUGCGAGUGCUAAGAUCCGUAGUCGAAAGGGAAACAGCCCAGACCACCAGCUAAGGUCCCAAAAUAAUUGUUAAGUGGAAAAGGAUGUGGGGUUGCACAGACAACUAGGAUGUUAGCUUAGAAGCAGCUAUUCAUUCAAAGAGUGCGUAAUAGCUCACUAGUCGAGUGACCCUGCGCCGAAAAUGUACCGGGGCUAAAACAAUUUACCGAAGCUGUGGAUACCUUUAUAGGUAUGGUAGGAGAGCGUUCUAUGUGUGGAGAAGGUGUACCGUGAGGAGCGCUGGAACGCAUAGAAGUGAGAAUGCCGGUAUGAGUAGCGAAAGACAGGUGAGAAUCCUGUCCACCGUAAGACUAAGGUUUCCAGGGGAAGGCUCGUCCGCCCUGGGUUAGUCGGGACCUAAGGAGAGACCGAAAGGUGUAUCCGAUGGACAACAGGUUGAUAUUCCUGUACUAGAGUAUGUAGUGAAGGAGGGACGCAGUAGGCUAACUAAAGCGUGCGACUGGAAGUGCACGUCUAAGCAGUGAGGUGUGAAUUGAGUUAAAUGCUUAAUUCUGUAACAUUGAGCUGUGAUGGGGAGCGAAGUUUAGUAGCGAAGUUAGUGACGUCACACUGCCAAGAAAAGCUUCUAGCGUUAAUCAUACUCUACCCGUACCGCAAACCGACACAGGUAGUCGAGGCGAGUAGCCUCAGGUGAGCGAGAGAACUCUCGUUAAGGAACUCGGCAAAAUGACCCCGUAACUUCGGGAGAAGGGGUGCUGACUUUAAGUCAGCCGCAGUGAAUAGGCCCAAGCAACUGUUUAUCAAAAACACAGCUCUCUGCUAAAUCGUAAGAUGAUGUAUAGGGGGUGACGCCUGCCCGGUGCUGGAAGGUUAAGAGGAGUGCUUAGCGUAAGCGAAGGUAUGAAUUGAAGCCCCAGUAAACGGCGGCCGUAACUAUAACGGUCCUAAGGUAGCGAAAUUCCUUGUCGGGUAAGUUCCGACCUGCACGAAUGGUGUAAUGAUCCGGACGCUGUCUCAACCAUGAUCUCAGUGAAAUUGUAGUAUCGGUGAAGAUGCCGAUUACCCGCGAUGGGACGAAAAGACCCCGUGAACCUUUACUACAGCUUAGCAUUGACCUUGGUCAUCCGAUGUGUAGGAUAGGCCGGAGGCUUUGAAGCAUGCACGCCAGUGUGUGUGGAGCCAUCCUUGAAAUACGGCCCUUUGGCUGUCUGAGGUCUAACACGUACUUUCGUGGACAUUGUUUGGUGGGUAGUUUGACUGGGGUGGUCGCCUCCAAAAGCGUAACGGAGGCUUCCAAAGGUGCCCUCGGGCCGAUUGGUAACCGGCCUUAUAGAGUGCAAUGGCAUAAGGGCGCUUGACUGGGAGGCAGACAUGCCGAGCAGGCAGGAAACUGGGGCAUAGUGAUCCGGCGGAUGUGUAUGGAAACUCCGUCGCUCAAAGGAUAAAAGGUACUCCGGGGAUAACAGGCUGAUCCCCCCCAAGAGCUCAUAUCGACGGGGUGGUUUGGCACCUCGAUGUCGGCUCGUCACAUCCUGGGGCUGGAGAAGGUCCCAAGGGUUGGGCUGUUCGCCCAUUAAAGUGGCACGCGAGCUGGGUUCAGAACGUCGUGAGACAGUUCGGUCUCUAUCUAUCGUGGGCGUUGGAGUUUUGCGUGGUGCUGACACUAGUACGAGAGGACCGUGUUGGACAGACCUCCGGUUUACCAGUUGUGCCGCCAGGUGCACCGCUGGGUAUCUGAGUCUGGAUUGGAUAAGCGCUGAAAGCAUCUAAGUGCGAAGCCAGCCGCAAGAUGAGAACUCCUCAUAAGGGUCGUCAUAGACGAUGACGUUGAUAGGGUGUAGGUGUAAAGACGGUGACGUCAAAGCCGAGCACUACUAAUUGCCCGAAACUUUCUUCGG